This 253-nucleotide ribosomal RNA is filed under the name uncultured bacterium. RNAcentral's name for it is "partial 16S ribosomal RNA". It matches the Rfam family "Bacterial small subunit ribosomal RNA", at positions 524 to 776 of the family's 1533-position model. The record is from RNAcentral.
UACGGGGGGGGCAAGCGUUGUUCGGAAUUACUGGGCGUAAAGGGUUCGUAGGUGGCCUGCUAAGUCAGACGUGAAAUCCCUCAGCUUAACUGGGGAACUGCGUCUGAGACUGGCGGGCUUGAGUGCAGGAGAGGAACGCGGAAUUCCAGGUGUAGCGGUGAAAUGCGUAGAUAUCUGGAGGAACACCGGUGGCGAAGGCGGCGUUCUGGACUGUUACUGACACUGAUGAACGAAAGCCAGGGGAGCAAACGGG